This 204-nucleotide ribosomal RNA is filed under the name uncultured bacterium. RNAcentral's name for it is "partial 16S ribosomal RNA". It matches the Rfam family "Bacterial small subunit ribosomal RNA", at positions 568 to 774 of the family's 1533-position model. The record is from RNAcentral.
AGCGUAGGCGGACUUUUAAGUGAGAUGUGAAAUACCCGGGCUCAACUUGGGUGCUGCAUUUCAAACUGGAAGUCUAGAGUGCAGGAGAGGAGAAUGGAAUUCCUAGUGUAGCGGUGAAAUGCGUAGAGAUUAGGAAGAACACCAUGGCGAAGGCGAUUCUCUGGACUGUAACUGACGCUGAGGCUGAAAGCUGGGGAGCAAACA